AAUCGAACCCGGAGAUAGCUGGUUCUCCUCGAAAUAGCUUUAGGGCUAGCCUCGAUACAGAUUUGCGGAGGUAGAGCACUGAAUUUCCUAGGGGGCGUCAAAGCCUACCGAAGAAUAUCAAACUCCGAAUGCCGCGUAAUCGAUUAUCGGGAGUCAGACUGCACGAGAUAAGUUGGGCAGUCAAAAGGGAAAGAGCCCAGACCUUCAGUUAAGGUCCCAAAGUGUGCGUUAAGUGGAAAAGGAUGUGGGAUUUCGAAGACAACCAGGAUGUUGGCUCAGAAGCAGCCAUUCAUUCAAAGAGUGCGUAAUAGCUCACUGGUCGAGAGGUCCUGCGCCGAAAAUGUCCGGGGCUGAAACGCGCCACCGAAACUAAGGAACCGAAAGGUUGGUAGAGGAGCAUUGCAUGCGGGAAGAAGCAGUACCGUAAGGAGCUGUGGACUGCAUGGAAGAGAGAAUGCCGGAAUGAGUAGCGAGAUAGAGGUGAGAAUCCUCUAGGCCGAAUAUCCAAGGUUUCCAGGGUAAAGCUGAUCUGCCCUGGGUAAGUCGGGGCCUAAGGUGAGGACGAGAGUCGUAGCCGAUGGACAACAGGUGGAGAUUCCUGUACUAUGAUAUGACAGAACUGUGGGGACACGUGCAGAGAGCGGAAGCCGGGAAUGGGAUCCCGGUGCAAGCGAGGUACCAGUCGCAUUGGAAAAACCGUGCGGCAAUGGGAAGACGUGAUGCGGAGUGAAGUUUAGUAAUGAAGUCCGUGAGCUGUGCGUCAAGAAAAGCCGCUAUUGUUCAUACCAUACCCGUACCGUAAACCGACACAGGUGGAUGAGGAGAGAAUCCUAAGGCCGGCGGAAGAAGCAUUGUCAAGGAACUCGGCAAAAUGACCCCGUAACUUCGGGAGAAGGGGUGCCUGCGAGAGCAGGCCGCAGAGAAUAGGCUCAAGCAACUGUUUAGCAAAAACACAGGUCUAUGCGAAACCGAAAGGUGAGGUAUAUGGGCUGACGCCUGCCCGGUGCUGGAAGGUUAAGAGGAGAGGUUAGCGCAAGCGAAGCUUUGAAUUUAAGCCCCAGUAAACGGCGGCCGUAACUAUAACGGUCCUAAGGUAGCGAAAUUCCUUGUCGGGUAAGUUCCGACCCGCACGAAAGGCGUAAUGAUUUGAGCGCUGUCUCGACAAUGCAUCCGGUGAAAUUGAAGUACCAGUGAAGAUGCUGGUUACCUGCGCCAGGACGGAAAGACCCCAUGGAGCUUUACUCCAGUCUGGUACUGGGACUCGGUAUUGCAUGUACAGGAUAGGUGGGAGGCUAGGAGAUGGUAACGCCAGUUGCCAUGGAGCCGCUGUUGGGAUACCACCCUUGCAGUAUUGGGUUUCUAACCAGCCGCCGUGACCCGGCGGUGGGACAAUGCCAGACGGGGAGUUUGACUGGGGCGGUCGCCUCCGAAAGGGUAUCGGAGGCGCCCAAAGGUUCCCUCAGAAUGGACGGAAACCAUUCGAAGAGUGCAAAGGCAGAAGGGAGCUUGACUGCGACACCGACGGGUGGAGCAGGUACGAAAGUAGGGCUUAGUGAUCCGGUGGUAUUAAGUGGGAAUGCCAUCGCUCAACGGAUAAAAGCUACCCUGGGGAUAACAGGCUUAUCACUCCCAAGAGUUCACAUCGACGGAGUGGUUUGGCACCUCGAUGUCGGCUCAUCGCAUCCUGGGGCUGUAGUAGGUCCCAAGGGUUGGGCUGUUCGCCCAUUAAAGCGGUACGCGAGCUGGGUUCAGAACGUCGUGAGACAGUUCGGUCCCUAUCCGGCGUGGGCGUAGGAUAUCUGAGAGGAGCUGUCCUUAGUACGAGAGGACCGGGAUGGACGGACCGCUGGUGGACCGGUUGGCUUGCCAAAGCCAUGGCCGGGUAGCCAAGUCCGGAAGGGAUAAACGCUGAAGGCAUCUAAGCGUGAAGCCCCCCUCAAGAUGAGAUAUCCCAUCCGAAAGGAGUAAACCCCCUUGA
This 1978-nucleotide ribosomal RNA is filed under the name human gut metagenome. RNAcentral describes it as "bacterial LSU rRNA". It matches the Rfam family "Bacterial large subunit ribosomal RNA", at positions 831 to 2841 of the family's 2925-position model. The record is from RNAcentral.